CCGACGUUCGGCUGCGCUGCUUUCAGCGUGAAAAUUAAACGCCGGAAAGUCGCUCGGACACUGCCUACGAAGACGGAAUAAUCUUGCACAAUGCCGGCGUGUUCGCCGCCUUCAAGGAACUGCCCAUAUCGGUGUACGCUUGGAUGCCUCAUCACUCUGAACCUACCUCAAGUCAGCGUAGAAUGUGUCAUCACUGAAAGCAAGCUCAUGGGCCAAAAUCCUCGGAAGAAAACUGCACUAAAGAGAGACCAUUGAUUUCCAAGCUACCGACAUCCAGUCGUUAGAAGCUCUACAGUUGCCAUAGUGACAACCACACGCACCACCAAUAUGCCUGGCGGACAAAUGGAAGCCUUAUACUGAAAAGCAGUGAUAGUGUACGGUAUGUUCAAGUUGUACGAAAUUGGUUGCACAGAUUGUUGUUUCUUGCUUUAUGAAUUACUCAGUUUACAGGAAAUGUGCAGGCUUCAAUAUUCUUGGAUAGUGCAUACUGUACUUCACUCAAUGUGUCAAACUUUGCAUAGAGUAUCACAUAUAACUAGGUAACAAAUGGGCUUUUGGUAGUGCAUAUUUAGCAGCACUUCUUUUUCACAUUGUGUAUAGAUUGCUGUGAAUGUAAUGACUGUUGCAAGGCGGUGGUAGAUACAGCUAUAGUAGUGUUGAAACAGUUACUGAUACCGUGUGCAUGUUGGGAGUGACCUUAUAAAAGUUCUAAAAAAAAAGACUAUCAUCUUAAAAAACUGUGCAAGAACUCGUGCCUCCAUUAAGCAAGACAUGUAUUGCAGUGGUAGAAACCACGGAGUCAAACCAUGAGAGUAAAAUACCUAGAAGAAUAGGGAAGAAUAAGAAUGGGUGGAUCACAUUCGACAAGCAUUCUCGAAUCAUUAAUGAUAAUCUGUCACUAACCCUCAAGAGGAUGAUAUAUAACAGCUACGUCUUGCCCGCACUUACCUACAGAGCAGAAACCUGGAGGCUUACAAAAAGGGUUCAGUUUAAAUUGAGGACGACGCAGCGAGCGAUGGAAAGGAAAAUGAUGGGUGUAACCUUAAGACACAAGAAAAGAGCAGAGUGGGUCAGAGAACAAAUCUUUGUUGAGGAUAUCGUAGAUGAAAUCAAGAAGUAGAAAUGGACAUGGGUUGGGCUCGUAGUACGCAGGCAGAAUAACUGCUGGUCAUUAAAGGGCCAGAAACCAAGCCCCAUACCGAAUUUUAGUAAGACAGUGGAAG
Molecule: long non-coding RNA, 1223 nt
Organism: Rhipicephalus microplus (southern cattle tick)
Lineage: Eukaryota; Metazoa; Arthropoda; Arachnida; Ixodida; Ixodidae
Source: RefSeq, a predicted model, not a curated record